RNAcentral lists this ribosomal RNA (1402 nucleotides) under Sclerophrys regularis (square-marked toad). Its description in RNAcentral is "partial 16S ribosomal RNA". It matches the Rfam family "Bacterial large subunit ribosomal RNA", at positions 378 to 2575 of the family's 2925-position model. The record is from RNAcentral. Lineage: Eukaryota; Metazoa; Chordata; Amphibia; Anura; Bufonidae.
GCCAAAAACCUAGCCCAAUAAACAUGAAUUCACCUAAGUUAACUAAUUACACUUAAUAAACCAUUCUACAUUUUUAGUAAAGGGGAUUAAAAAAUUUUUUGGAGCUAUAACUAUAGUACCGUAAGGGAACGGUGAAAUAUUUAAUGAAAACCACUAAGCGAUAAAAAGUAAUGAUUACCACUUGUACCUUUUGCAUCAUGGUUUAACUAGUCAAAUCAAGCAAAACGUAUUUUAGUUUGACCUCCCGAAACUAAGUGAGCUACUUCAAGGCAGCUGAAAGAGCCAACCCGUCUCUGUUGCAAAAGAGUGGGAUGACCUUCAAGUAGCGGUGACAGACCUAACGAACUUAGUGAUAGCUGGUUACUUAAGAAAAGGAUCUUAGUCCAACCUAAAAUUCCACUUAGUGCAUCAAAACAACCACUUGAAUUUUAGCGUAAUUCAAAUAAGGUACAGCCUAUUUGAAACAGGAUACAACCUAAGCCAAUGGAUAACAUUAGCCUGUAACACAACCAAGUGGGCCUAAAAGCAGCCAUCUUCAAAAUUGCGUCAAAGCUUAAUUGUACACACGCCUAAUUACUACACUAUUAACUUAUUCCUCCACCAGUAUUAAGUAAUUCUAUACUACUAUAGAAAAUUUAAUGUUAAAACUAGUAACAAGAAGAAGACCUUCUCUUAAAUGUAAGUGUACAUCAGAUAGGACAAACCACUGAUAUUUAACAUAUUUGAGCAUAAAGUAAUAACUUAACAAGAAAACCUUACUUACACCUAUGUUAACCUAACACAAGAGCAUUUUAAGAAAGAUUAAAAGAAAAAGAAGGAACUCGGCAAAUAAUUAACCUCGCCUGUUUACCAAAAACAUCGCCUCUUGACCCCCAUAAGAGGUCCAGCCUGCCCAGUGACUCUGUUCAACGGCCGCGGUAUCCUAACCGUGCGAAGGUAGCGUAAUCACUUGUUCUUUAAUUGUGGACUAGUAUGAAUGGCACCACGAGGGUUAUACUGUCUCCUUUUUCCAAUCAGUGAAACUAAUCUCCCCGUGAAGAAGCGAGGAUAACUAUAUAAGACGAGAAGACCCUAUGGAGCUUUAAACAUCAUAGCAACUACUACACAACAUUCAUCUUUCUGAACAUUUUAAUUUUUUAAGUAGUCUGACUAUAAGUUUUUGGUUGGGGUGACCGCGGAGCAUAACAUAACCUCCAUGCUGAAGGAUUUAACUCUAAGCUAAGAUCUACGCCUCUAAGCAUCAGCACACUGACAUUUAUUGACCCAAUACAAUUGAGCAACGAACCAAGUUACCCUAGGGAUAACAGCGCAAUCCACUUCAAGAGCUCCUAUCGACAAGUGGGUUUACGACCUCGAUGUUGGAUCAGGGUAUCCUAAUGGUGCAGCCGCUAUUAAAGGUUCG